CGGUCCAGACUCCUACGGGAGGCAGCAGUGGGGAAUAUUGCACAAUGGGCGCAAGCCUGAUGCAGCCAUGCCGCGUGUGUGAAGAAGGCCUUCGGGUUGUAAAGCACUUUCAGCGGGGAGGAAGGCGAUAAGGUUAAUAACCUUGGCGAUUGACGUUACCCGCAGAAGAAGCACCGGCUAACUCCGUGCCAGCAGCCGCGGUAAUACGGAGGGUGCAAGCGUUAAUCGGAAUUACUGGGCGUAGAGCGCACGCAG
RNAcentral lists this ribosomal RNA (255 nucleotides) under Klebsiella pneumoniae. Its description in RNAcentral is "partial 16S ribosomal RNA". It matches the Rfam family "Bacterial small subunit ribosomal RNA", at positions 327 to 574 of the family's 1533-position model. The record is from RNAcentral. Lineage: Bacteria; Pseudomonadati; Pseudomonadota; Gammaproteobacteria; Enterobacterales; Enterobacteriaceae.